UCUCUGGUGGCUCAGAUGGUAAAGAAUCUGCCUGCAAUGCAGGAGACCCAGGUUCAAUCCCUGGAUUGGGAA
This 72-nucleotide transfer RNA is filed under the name Ovis aries (sheep). It matches the Rfam family "tRNA". From Rfam's summary of the family: Transfer RNA (tRNA) molecules are approximately 80 nucleotides in length. Their secondary structure includes four short double-helical elements and three loops (D, anti-codon, and T loops). Further hydrogen bonds mediate the characteristic L-shaped molecular structure. tRNAs have two regions of fundamental functional importance: the anti-codon, which is responsible for specific mRNA codon recognition, and the 3' end, to which the tRNAs corresponding amino acid is attached (by aminoacyl-tRNA synthetases). tRNAs cope with the degeneracy of the genetic code in two manners: having more than one tRNA (with a specific anti-codon) for a particular amino acid; and 'wobble' base-pairing, i.e. permitting non-standard base-pairing at the 3rd anti-codon position. Lineage: Eukaryota; Metazoa; Chordata; Mammalia; Artiodactyla; Bovidae. The record is from Rfam by way of RNAcentral.